CAGCCCCGCCGCGGGACAAGCCCGCUUCGCCGCGCUUUACCUCUGCGCCCCACGCCCGCGCGGCGGGAAGGAGGGUGCGGCGGCCGAGAGGCGGCAGCAGGAAUUUGUACGCCGCCAUCUUCGCGCUGCACGACUCGGAGAAGGAGCGGAGGGGCUGCGGGCAGAGACGAGCGGGAGGCGGCGGCCGUCCAACGGCGGGCGGAAGAUCCGAGCACGCUGAGGACGGCGGCUCCGGGUCACAUGUGCCGAAGGAGGGAUUUCUUCUGCAAGAAUGAGGUUAUUUUAC
This 286-nucleotide long non-coding RNA is filed under the name Gallus gallus (chicken). Its description in RNAcentral is "long non-coding RNA NONGGAT011688". The record is from RNAcentral. Lineage: Eukaryota; Metazoa; Chordata; Aves; Galliformes; Phasianidae.